GAGAUACUCCCUCCGUCCAAAAAUACUUGUAAUCAAAAUGGAUAAAAAGAGAAGUAUCUAGAACUAAAAUACAUCUAGCUACAUCCCCUUCGAUCCAUUUUGAUGACAAGUAUUUCUGGACGGAGGGAGUAGCUC
Triticum aestivum (bread wheat) is the source of this 135-nucleotide non-coding RNA. The record is from Rfam. NCBI's taxonomy places the organism in Eukaryota, Viridiplantae, Streptophyta, Magnoliopsida, Poales, Poaceae.